CGCAUCUGUGCAUGCAGCAUAUCAAUAAGCGGAGGAAAAGAAACUAACAAGGAUUCCCUUAGUAACGGCGAGUGAAGCGGGAAGAGCUCAAAUUUGAAAUCUUCAAGGUUUUACCUUGACGAAUUGUAGUUUAAAGAAGUGUUUUCUGUUGAAGUUUUGGUAAAAGUUCUUUGGAAUAGGACAUCAUAGAGGGUGAGAAUCCCGUAUUUGACCAUUAUUUUCAGCUGUGUGAUACACUUUCAAAGAGUCGGAUUGUUUGGGAAUGCAGUCCAAAAUGGGUGGUAAAUUUCAUCUAAAGCUAAAUAUUGGCGAGAGACCGAUAGCGAACAAGUACCGUGAGGGAAAGAUGAAAAGAACUUGAAAAGAGAGUUAAACAGUACGUGAAAUUGUCAAAAGGGAAGCGUUUGACACCAGUGUUGUUUUCUCGAAAAUCAAUUAAAAAGAGUUUGAUUUUGUUGUGUAUUGACCUUAACAGCUUGCAUUUCAAUUUUCUUGCUUUUUUUAAUGCACUUUUCGUUUAACAAGUCAACAUCAGUUUCUUUUGUUGUAAAAAGGUCAUUGGAAGGUGGCUUUCUUUUCGGAGAAAGUGUUUAUAGCCUUUGACUCCUGCAAUCGGAGAGACUGAGGUCUGCAGCGUAGAUCCUUCGGGGUUAGAUACAUUUGUGCUAAGUUAUAGCUUUUUAUAGACAACUUGUUGACUAUGAUUAGUCUUGUAGCUUACUCGCUUAUGCUAUUUUACCUACGCUUAGGAUGUUGACACACGCGCGUGCUCG
Molecule: ribosomal RNA, 773 nt
Filed under: uncultured Neocallimastigales
Lineage: Eukaryota; Fungi; Neocallimastigomycota; Neocallimastigomycetes; Neocallimastigales
Description: partial large subunit ribosomal RNA
Rfam family: Eukaryotic large subunit ribosomal RNA
Source: RNAcentral